This 483-nucleotide ribosomal RNA is filed under the name uncultured bacterium. RNAcentral's name for it is "partial 16S ribosomal RNA". It matches the Rfam family "Bacterial small subunit ribosomal RNA", at positions 28 to 523 of the family's 1533-position model. The record is from RNAcentral.
GAUGAACGCUGGCGGCGUGCCUAAUACAUGCAAGCCGAGCGAACCACUUCGGUGGUGAGCGGCGAACGGGUGAGUAACACGUAGGUGAUCUGCCCAUCAGACGGGGGCAACGAUUGGAAACGAUCGCUAAUACCGGAUAGGACGAAAGUUUAAAGGUGCUUCUGGCACCGCUGAUGGAUGAGCCUGCGGCGCAUUAGCUAGUUGGUAGGGUAAAGGCCUACCAAGGCGACGAUGCGUAGCCGACCUGAGAGGGUGAACGGCCACACUGGGACUGAGACACGGCCCAGACUCCUACGGGAGGCAGCAGUAGGGAAUCUUCGGCAAUGGGCGAAAGCCUGACCGAGCAACGCCGCGUGAAUGAUGAAGGCCUUCGGGUUGUAAAAUUCUGUUAUAAGGGAAGAACGACUUUAGUAGGAAAUGGCUAGAGUGUGACGGUACCUUAUGAGAAAGCCACGGCUAACUACGUGCCAGCCGCCGCGGUAA